AAGGUUGCUGUAGGUGAACCUGCAGCAGGAUCAUU
This 35-nucleotide ribosomal RNA is filed under the name Eutreptiella gymnastica. RNAcentral's name for it is "partial Eukaryotic small subunit ribosomal RNA". The record is from RNAcentral. Lineage: Eukaryota; Euglenozoa; Euglenophyceae; Eutreptiales; Eutreptiaceae.